Molecule: ribosomal RNA, 494 nt
Filed under: uncultured bacterium
Lineage: Bacteria
Description: partial 16S ribosomal RNA
Rfam family: Bacterial small subunit ribosomal RNA
Source: RNAcentral
GACGAACGCUGGCGGCGUGCUUAACACAUGCAAGUCGAACGGAAAGGCCUGCUUUCCCUUGUGGAUUGCGGGUACUCGAGUGGCGAACGGGUGAGUAACACGUGAGUGAUCUGCCCCCAACUUGGGUAUAAGCCUGGGAAACUGGGUCUAAUUCCCGAUAGGACUGCAGGGUGGUGCCUGUGGUGGAAAACGAUUUUCUAGUGGUUGGGGAUGAGCUCGCGGCCUAUCAGCUUGUUGGUGGGGUAAUGGCCUACCAAGGCGGCGACGGGUAGCCGGCCUGGGAGGGUGGACGGCCACAUUGGGACUGAGAUACGGCCCAGACUCCUACGGGAGGCAGCAGUGGGGAAUAUUGCACAAUGGGCGGAAGCCUGAUGCAGCGACGCCGCGUGGGGGAUGACGGCCUUCGGGUUGUAAGCUCCUUUCGACCGCGAGGAAGCCACCUGGUUGGAAGGGUGGUGACGGUAGUGGUAGAAGAAGCACCGGCUAACUACGUG